Molecule: ribosomal RNA, 529 nt
Filed under: uncultured bacterium
Lineage: Bacteria
Description: bacterial SSU rRNA
Rfam family: Bacterial small subunit ribosomal RNA
Source: RNAcentral
AAUAGAUACCCCGGUAGUCCAUGCCGUAAACGUUGGGCACUAGGUGUGGGGCUCAUUCCACGAGUUCCGUGCCGCAGCAAACGCAUUAAGUGCCCCGCCUGGGGAGUACGGCCGCAAGGCUAAAACUCAAAGGAAUUGACGGGGGCCCACACAAGCGGCGGAGCAUGCGGAUUAAUUCGAUGCAACGCGAAGAACCUUACCAAGGCUUGACAUGCACGGGAAGCCACCAGAGAUGGUGGUCUCUUUGGACACUCGUGCACAGGUGGUGCAUGGUUGUCGUCAGCUCGUGUCGUGAGAUGUUGGGUUAAGUCCCGCAACGAGCGCAACCCUCGUCCCAUGUUGCCAGCGGGUUAUGCCGGGGACUCAUGGGAGACUGCCGGGGUCAACUCGGAGGAAGGUGGGGAUGACGUCAAAUCAUCAUGCCCCUUAUGUCUUGGGCUUCACGCAUGCUACAAUGGCCGGUACAAAGGGCUGCGAUACCGUAAGGUGGAGCGAAUCCCAAAAAGCCGGUCUCAGUUCGGAUUGGGGU